GGAUUUACUACUGGAGAUAUAACACAAAAGGGGUUUGAUGCAAGGCAGGCGACCAUUCGUAAAACUUAUGCCAAAUCCCUAUGUAACAUGAUAAGAGGACAUGCUGCGUCGAUCCCACAUAAUGUAGGAUAAGGGCAAACAGAGAAAAGGCAAUAAUAUACAUGUCCGAGAUAUAGAAAUAUCUCCCGUCACAUUAUUCGGGUCGUGCGCUGUUUGUGAAGGAUUCCAAAUGGCCUCAUAUUAAUGUCUGUCCACGUCAUAGGACACUGACGUAUACAAACGGUAUGCAUUCAUUUGUGUAACGGACGUGACGUCAGCUGUCAUGCCCUGCCGCCAGCCAAGCCGCCAAGCCAUGUUAACACGCCCCCUUCCGCCACUGCCGCUAGCCAAAGCCAACGAA
Long non-coding RNA from Bombyx mori (domestic silkworm), 400 nucleotides. RefSeq lists it as uncharacterized. Lineage: Eukaryota; Metazoa; Arthropoda; Insecta; Lepidoptera; Bombycidae. The record is from RefSeq and is a predicted model, not a curated record. The transcript has 3 exons.